UUAAAUCCCAUCCUUCUUUAGCUACAAAAACUUUGUUGUUGACUAAUUUUGGACAGUCCUUCUUGAAGUGUCCAAGCUGCUUACAUUCAAAACAUGUGUUUUCAUUUGGAUUGGUACUUCUGAAGUUGUUGUUAUUUGUUUUGAAAUUUCCUCCUUGCGUCUUUGGUUUGAAAAAUUGUUUGCCUUUGAAGUUGUUAUUUGUUUUCAUGAAUCC
Molecule: long non-coding RNA, 214 nt
Filed under: Panax ginseng (ginseng)
Lineage: Eukaryota; Viridiplantae; Streptophyta; Magnoliopsida; Apiales; Araliaceae
Description: long non-coding RNA (PGIN_LNC001508)
Source: RNAcentral